This 1301-nucleotide unclassified non-coding RNA is filed under the name Metschnikowia dekortorum. RNAcentral describes it as "partial external transcribed spacer". Lineage: Eukaryota; Fungi; Ascomycota; Pichiomycetes; Serinales; Metschnikowiaceae. The record is from RNAcentral.
UUCGUAGAUUUCUGAUGAGAAGAGUGAAAAACUGAUAUUGCUGUUCCUUAGGGGGCAGUGAUUGAAGUGUGAGAGGGAGUCGUGCGGAGACCAAGGGGGAAGAAGUUGGGUGGUGAAGUAUUUGAAGUGUAGGAGGGUCGUGCGAAGACCAAGGGGGAUGAAGUUGGGUGGUGAAGUAUUUCAAGUGGUGUAGUAUUUGAAGUGUAGGAGAGUCGUGCGAAGACCAAGGGGGAUGAAGUUGGGUGGUGAAGUAUUUGAAGUGGUGUAGUAUUUGAAGUGUAGGAUAGUCGUGCGAAGACCAAGACGGAUGGGGUGGUGAAGUAUUUGUAGUGAGGGAGAGUCGUGCGAAGGCCAAGAGGGAUAGAGGGUCGAGAAAUUUUGUGAAGAAAUUUUGUAGAGAAACUUUGUAGAAAUUUUGUGUUCAUUACUUUCGUGUUCAUUGCUUUCGUGUUCAUUGCUUUCGUGCUCAUUACUUUUGUGUACAAAUUUUGUGUGCUGUGUGUUUGUGCCUGUGUGUUUGUGCCUGUGCGUAGUGUGGUUUUGUGUUUUGUAUGGUCGAGGGUCGUGCCUCGCCCAAAUACAUUCGUAUGGCUUUCAUUUUGCCCUCUAUAUGAUUUCUCUGGUCCCUAAAACACCCCUCUAGUUGAUUCGGGAAGCAAAUUGUCGGGAGCGAUUUUUGAAUAGGUUCCCAAAGUUUUGCAUUCUUGAGUAAGCGCGAGAAAAAGAUAGAAACAGGAGGAAAAAGCGGGAGAGAAAAAUAUAAUAAAGUAGAAUGAUAUAUAAUAAAGCAGAAUGAUAUAUAAUAAAACAGCUAUAAAAUAUAAUAAAACAGCUAUAAUUAGUUCAAUACAACCCCUUUUUGUUUGGAUCUUUUGGCGCGCGCGGGCAGGAAAUUUUCCAGGAUUUUACGCAACUUUCUUUAGGAGUUUCAAAAAAGAUUAUUUUCGCAGCAGGCAAUCUGCGCGGUUGCAGCAUUUUGCACCCGGAGGUACUAUAUGAGAGAGAAAUCUCUAAGGAAUAGUGCGUAUGAAAUUCAUACGUCCAUUCCGAUGAAGUGAAUUUAUAUCAACUUUUAGUUUUUAUACCUCCUUUUGGAGGUAUAUUUUUUAGUUGUAUGAACUUUACUUCUUGGCCCCCCGAUUUAUCGCUCAAGUCUCGGGCUGACAACGUCUCCCCGAGCAAGGUGAAACAGUGGAUUACUAGGCAAUGCCAAAUCUACAAACUCACAGAUCUUUAGAUCUUUUUCGCUACGAGUCAGUGGACAUUCCAGUCUUAAUAACUUCUUAUUAGUUAUCUGGUUG